AUUGACGUUGCGUCUGGACGCAUCCUUAGAAUAUAAACAACAGAGAUUUGAUCAGGUGUUAUUUUUUACUGAAAACACAUACAUCAGAUGCCUUCUUAAAAAUCAAUUUGAAUGAUGCAUUUACUCUGGUAAGCCAUGUGACUUGGGUUAAUUUUCCAACUCACAUUGAUUUGAUGCACUUGUCAAAAGUGCCCUAGGCAUUAGAAUGGAUGCUGGUUUACUGCCAGAAGGUGUUCAUUACACAAGUAUUCGAGCUUGCUAUAAAACAAAUGUAGAUAAGGGAUCUGUUUAUCGCAUACUUAUCACUGCAGUACAGCCAGCAACAGUUCCUAACAAUUUAUCCCUUCCAGAUCUCAUCUUUAAAAAUGCCUAAUUCAAACCAAAUACUGUCCAGCAUCAGCAGUGGUUAUUGUGGUAGCAAGCUCGACAUGAGAGAAGUUUGAGCGAUGGCAGACCUGAGCUGCCUGACGUGUUGACUGUCAUAAGAAGGCAGAGAAGUCAAUUGGAGAGUGCUGCUACGGACUGUUAGUCUUGAAGACUGUAUUUGCCUGACAAAGGUGACACUCCUAGUCAUAUACCUAGUUCGCAGAGGUUCAGCCAGCAUACUAUCCAGCUACUGAAGGUAUGUGAAUUGGCUUCUCCAAGUGGAAAAACCUAAGGUAGCGAGUGACUCUGAGCGUUGUGCAUCACCGAUACCAGCCAUCGUUCUGGAAGAAGGAGGACACGCCUGUUCGGAAGAAGCUGUCACUGCCAGGUUUACCAAGCUCAAUAUAACUGAAAGUUUUGCAUCUGAGAUUCACAGCACGAGUAAUCAGCUUACUUUGCCAAAAGACAAGACAAAACAUCAGAGGACAUCCUCAACAUCGCGCGAUGGAGAUUACAAGUCGUGUUCAGAAUAUGAGACCAAUACGGGUCAUUUGCGCAUCUGUCUUGUUUGUUUUCGCGAGAGAAGUGUGUAUGAUGAUUCGGUAACUGGUAACGAAGCCGAUUUUCGUAAGUCCAUCGACAAGCC
This is a long non-coding RNA of Copidosoma floridanum, 1012 nucleotides long. NCBI's taxonomy places the organism in Eukaryota, Metazoa, Arthropoda, Insecta, Hymenoptera, Encyrtidae. The record is from RefSeq and is a predicted model, not a curated record.